ACUACUCUGGGUUAGUUUAGGUGAAAUGGGUCGGGUGUUUGACUAUUCUCAUAUUUAUGUUUUAGUCUCAGUGUGUCUAUCAUCUUCAUCUUCACUUUCUGUUUCACCAUGUUCAUCUUCAUAUGAAAGUUUGCAGAGUCAGGGACCGAUGGAUAUGAAUUCAUCAAUUCCAGAUGGUAUAGGGAAUUGAAUGAAAUCAUAUCGGAUUUGUAUUUAGUUGGUUAUCUGAUUCGGGUUCAAACCAAGGGGUAUUACCACUGAUUUAGAAGUUACAAUCCUAACAAAUGUAAUGGAUGUGAAGUGGUCACGGAGAGGGGGAGAUGAUGUUCGGAAUGACAUUGGCAAGGAAAGCAACUUUCAAGAUAACAUUAAUGAGAUUAAAGCCACUCCUGUACAGUUAAAAAGGGAUUUAGGACUCUAGAAGAAGUGUCAAUGCCGAAAUGGCAUCAAGAAGCGUAACACGCAGAAACUCCCUCCACUUCAGAGCUUGCAUCAGACUAACAUUGAAUCAUAGAUAGCUUAGUACAAGUUCCAAGAAUGGUGAGAUACCUGGUUAAAUUUAUACUACCUUCAAAGAGAAUUACCCAUCAUAAUUUAUGGUAUCUUGCAAAAUAAGGUACUCAUUGAAAUUUAUACGACCGUAUUGUCAAUGUACCCAAUUAAAUUCAUAGGACCGUCUAAAUGACGAUAUGCACUGCUUUCCUUAAUGAACUGAAGUUCACGACAGAAUUUAGUCACUACUCAGCCCGGCGGAGAAGAUUGAAAUUAACUUCAUUGCAUCAAUCAUAAAGCUUUGCUGUUCUUCAGGUAUUUCCGUAUCCAAAGUAUCAAAAAUGGAGCUGGUGAAAGAAGAAAGGACAUGAUGUUGGUUGUUGUAGGCUUCAACCAACACCAUCUCCCAAUCAGUGAAUGGUCCAAUGCCGUUGGUUGUGGUGGAUUUGAGACCUCUCAUCCAGGGCCGUCUUUGACAUAGGGCCAAAUGGGCGACCGCCCUAGGCCCAGAAAUCAGAGGGGCCUAGAAAAAAUAUCUCCUACCUGUUAUAUUUACUAGUAAGUUGGUAUAAUAGUAAUUUUGUCCUUAACCUAGUUAAAAACCCGACGUGAAACACUAGAAGUGGAAGAGCAACUGAUUCAUCUCUCAAUCUCUCCGGGCUCAGACAUAAACUUGAGGUUUGUUUUUAUUUUCUUUCAAUUCAAUCAUUCCCACUUCCCUCUUUGUUAACAGUA
Papaver somniferum (opium poppy) is the source of this 1227-nucleotide long non-coding RNA. RefSeq lists it as uncharacterized. The transcript is spliced from 4 exons. Lineage: Eukaryota; Viridiplantae; Streptophyta; Magnoliopsida; Ranunculales; Papaveraceae. The record is from RefSeq and is a predicted model, not a curated record.